CAGAGGGGGCAAGCGUUGUUCGGAAUUACUGGGCGUAAAGGGCGCGUAGGCGGCCUGCUAAGUCGAACGUGAAAUCCCCGGGCUCAACCCGGGAACUGCGUCCGAUACUGGCAGGCUUGAAUCCGGGAGAGGGAUGUGGAAUUCCAGGUGUAGCGGUGAAAUGCGUAGAUAUCUGGAGGAACACCGGUGGCGAAGGCAGCAUCCUGGACCGGUAUUGACGCUGAUGCGCGAAAGCCAGGGGAGCAAACGGGAUUAGAUACCCCGGUAGUCCUGGCCCUAAACGAUGAAUGCUUGGUGUGGCGGGUAUCGAUCCCUGCCGUGCCGAAGCUAACGCGUUAAGCAUUCCGCCUGGGGAGUACGGUCGCAAGGCUG
RNAcentral lists this ribosomal RNA (372 nucleotides) under uncultured organism. RNAcentral describes it as "bacterial SSU rRNA". It matches the Rfam family "Bacterial small subunit ribosomal RNA", at positions 526 to 896 of the family's 1533-position model. The record is from RNAcentral.